This 421-nucleotide ribosomal RNA is filed under the name uncultured bacterium. RNAcentral describes it as "bacterial SSU rRNA". It matches the Rfam family "Bacterial small subunit ribosomal RNA", at positions 355 to 774 of the family's 1533-position model. The record is from RNAcentral.
UAAGGAAUAUUGGUCAAUGGACGCAAGUCUGAACCAGCCAUGCCGCGUGAAGGAUGAAGGUCCUCUGGAUUGUAAACUUCUUUUAUCUGGGACGAAAACGGGAUUUUUAUCUCAAUUGACGGUACCAGAGGAAUAAGCACCGGCUAACUCCGUGCCAGCAGCCGCGGUAAUACGGAGGGUGCGAGCGUUAUCCGGAUUUACUGGGUUUAAAGGGUGCGUAGGUGGGCUUAUAAGUCAGUGGUGAAAUCUCCGAGCUUAACUUGGAAACUGCCGUUGAUACUAUAGGUCUUGAAUUAUCUGGAGGUAAGCGGAAUAUGUCAUAUAGCGGUGAAAUGCUUAGAUAUGACAUAGAACACCAAUUGCGAAGGCAGCUUACUACAUAUAAAUUGACGCUGAGGCACGAAAGCGUGGGGAUCAAACA